AUUGAACGCUGGCGGAAUGCUUUACACAUGCAAGUCGAACGGUAGCACGGGAGCUUGCUCCUUGUGGCUAGUGGCGAACGGGUGAGUAACAUAUCGGAACGUACCCAGUCGUGGGUGUUAACUAUCCGAAAGGAUAGCUAAUACCACAUACGUCCUGACGGAGACAGCGGGGGAUUGCAAGACCUCGCGCGAUUGGUUCGGCCGAUAUCGGAUUAGCUAGUUGGUGGAGUAAAGGCUCACCAAGGCGGAGAUCCGUAGCGGGUCUGAGAGGACGAUCCGCGACACUGGAACUGAGACGCGGUCCAGACUCCUACGGGAGGCAGCAGUGGGGAAUUAUGGACAAUGGGGGCAACACCGAUCAAGCAAAUACGCGUGAGUGAAGAAGGCAUUCGGGUUGUAAAGAUCUUUCAGCAGGAGCGAAACGGUCGGCUUUAAUAAGAUCGGCUAAUGACGGUACCUGCAGAAGAAGCACCGGCUAACUACGUG
Molecule: ribosomal RNA, 486 nt
Filed under: uncultured bacterium
Lineage: Bacteria
Description: partial 16S ribosomal RNA
Rfam family: Bacterial small subunit ribosomal RNA
Source: RNAcentral